CCUACGGGAGGCUGCAGUGGGGAAUAUUGGACAAUGGGGGGAACCCUGAUCCAGCCAUGCCGCGUGUGUGAAGAAGGCCCUCGGGUUGUAAAGCACUUUCAGUGAGGAAGAACGCCUGUUGGUUAAUACCCAUCAGGAAAGACAUCACUCACAGAAGAAGCACCGGCUAACUCCGUGCCAGCAGCCGCGGUAAUACGGAGGGUGCGAGCGUUAAUCGGAAUUACUGGGCGUAAAGCGCGCGUAGGUGGCUUGAUAAGCCGGUUGUGAAAGCCCCGGGCUCAACCUGGGAACGGCAUCCGGAACUGUCAAGCUAGAGUGCAGGAGAGGAAGGUAGAAUUCCCGGUGUAGCGGUGAAAUGCGUAGAGAUCGGGAGGAAUACCAGUGGCGAAGGCGGCCUUCUGGACUGACACUGACACUGAUGUGCGAAAGCGUGGGUAGCAAACAGGAUUAGAUACCCCAGUAGUC
This 465-nucleotide ribosomal RNA is filed under the name Vreelandella stevensii. RNAcentral describes it as "partial 16S ribosomal RNA". It matches the Rfam family "Bacterial small subunit ribosomal RNA", at positions 338 to 795 of the family's 1533-position model. Lineage: Bacteria; Pseudomonadati; Pseudomonadota; Gammaproteobacteria; Oceanospirillales; Halomonadaceae. The record is from RNAcentral.